Molecule: long non-coding RNA, 1011 nt
Organism: Oreochromis aureus
Lineage: Eukaryota; Metazoa; Chordata; Actinopteri; Cichliformes; Cichlidae
Source: Ensembl
UAGCUUAUAUAUAAAUAUUAUGUGUUUGUGGAAAUAUAAUUUUCAAGGAUUUACCUGAUUAUGUGUACGUCUAGCCGAUUCCACCAUUUCUGUCUUCAGUCGGGCCUUAAUGGCAGGAAGGUUGUCUGCGCUGAUGGUCCAUGAACGACGCAACAUCCAAAAGCUCCUGGGUGUUGAGGUCACUAUACUUGUCGUUGAGGUAUGCCAGGACCUUGGUUUUAAUUGAUCUAGUCAGAUCAGUGUCCUCAGCAUCUUCAGCCAAGACUGAUGUUGCCAGAAGAUGGAGAACUGGCUUGAGGUAGGAGAUGCUCACAUACUCUUCUCCAGAAAGAGCAUCAGUAAAUUCGGAGAGAGGAUGCAGUGCCUUAUGAAUGGACUCCAACACUUCAGCAUCCUGCCAGGUUGGGAUGAGGGAGCGUGCAUGUCGGUCACCUGUCAAUACCUGCGAUAUGGCUUUCAUCUGUUCCAGCACUCUGGCAAUCAUUUUCUCUUUGGACCCCCAUCUUGUAGGGCACUCAGUAAUGAGAGAGUGCUCAGGAAGCUUAAGCUCCUUCUGUGCCUCAGUGAGUGCUGCCUUUUUCUUCCAACUGUGCGAGAAGUGCCCCACCAACUUCUUGCACAGCCCAAUUGCUCUUGAUACUCUACCAUCUUUGAUUGCAUUUUCUGGAGGAAAAAAAAAUAAAGUAAAAAGUAAAAUUAGUGUUAGACAUACAAUUGCAGUUAUGAUGCAAGGUUUCACCAUUUCUCUCUCUCUCUCAAAUUCAAAGUUGCUUUAUUAGCAUGACUAUGGGAACAGUGUUGCCAAAGCUAUUGUUACAUACAUCAUGACAUACAAGAACAUAAGACCAUAAGACAAAAAACAAAAAGAAAAUACAUAAGAAGAGGUGGGUACAUCAGUGUGGGGUUGACAUAACAUAUCUAGAAUUAACAGCAGUAAAGAACAAGAUAAAUAAUAGUGUGGUGUGUUUGUGGGAGAGAGUGAUACACAGGCUCGCGCAUACAUGCAUGCAC